Molecule: antisense RNA, 69 nt
Filed under: Saccharothrix australiensis
Lineage: Bacteria; Bacillati; Actinomycetota; Actinomycetes; Pseudonocardiales; Pseudonocardiaceae
Description: ASpks TB sRNA
Rfam family: ASpks TB sRNA
Source: Rfam by way of RNAcentral
CUUCAGCGACCCGAGCCACAGCGGUUCGUCGCGGUCCUGCCCGUAGGUCGCCAGCAGGGCCUGCGCCUC